RNAcentral lists this ribosomal RNA (772 nucleotides) under Escherichia coli. RNAcentral's name for it is "partial 23S ribosomal RNA". It matches the Rfam family "Bacterial large subunit ribosomal RNA", at positions 418 to 1191 of the family's 2925-position model. Lineage: Bacteria; Pseudomonadati; Pseudomonadota; Gammaproteobacteria; Enterobacterales; Enterobacteriaceae. The record is from RNAcentral.
CGGGACACGUGGUAUCCUGUCUGAAUAUGGGGGGACCAUCCUCCAAGGCUAAAUACUCCUGACUGACCGAUAGUGAACCAGUACCGUGAGGGAAAGGCGAAAAGAACCCCGGCGAGGGGAGUGAAAAAGAACCUGAAACCGUGUACGUACAAGCAGUGGGAGCACGCUUCGGCGUGUGACUGCGUACCUUUUGUAUAAUGGGUCAGCGACUUAUAUUCUGUAGCAAGGUUAACCGAAUAGGGGAGCCGAAGGGAAACCGAGUCUUAACUGGGCGUUAAGUUGCAGGGUAUAGACCCGAAACCCGGUGAUCUAGCCAUGGGCAGGUUGAAGGUUGGGUAACACUAACUGGAGGACCGAACCGACUAAUGUUGAAAAAUUAGCGGAUGACUUGUGGCUGGGGGUGAAAGGCCAAUCAAACCGGGAGAUAGCUGGUUCUCCCCGAAAGCUAUUUAGGUAGCGCCUCGUGAAUUCAUCUCCGGGGGUAGAGCACUGUUUCGGCAAGGGGGUCAUCCCGACUUACCAACCCGAUGCAAACUGCGAAUACCGGAGAAUGUUAUCACGGGAGACACACGGCGGGUGCUAACGUCCGUCGUGAAGAGGGAAACAACCCAGACCGCCAGCUAAGGUCCCAAAGUCAUGGUUAAGUGGGAAACGAUGUGGGAAGGCCCAGACAGCCAGGAUGUUGGCUUAGAAGCAGCCAUCAUUUAAAGAAAGCGUAAUAGCUCACUGGUCGAGUCGGCCUGCGCGGAAGAUGUAACGGGGCUAAACCAUG